GUAGGGGAGCAUUCUAAUUUCAUUGAAGUUGGGUCGUAAGGCCUGGUGGAGGAAUUAGAAAAGAAAAUGUAGGCAUAAGUAACGAUAAAAUAGGUGAAAAACCUAUUCGCCAAUAGACUAAGGGUUCCUGAUCAAUGCUAAUCAGAUCAGGGUUAGUCGGGUCCUAAGGAUAACCCGAGAGGGGAAGCCGAUGGCAAACAGAUUAAUAUUUCUGUACCUGCUUUACAAUGAAAGUGACGGAGAGAAGGAGUAGCUACGUGCGGACGGAAGUGCACGUUGAGCCUAUCUGCAUGCAGAGAAGCGAAGUUAUGAAUGAUCUUCCAAGAAAUAGCGAGUAAUAGCAGCCCGUACCGUAAACCGACACAGGUAGUCAAGUAGAGUAUACUAAGGCGCUCGAGUGAUCCGUGGCUAAGGAAUUCGGCAAAAUGGUCCUGUAACUUCGGGAGAAAGGACGCCCCGUUAGCGAUAACGGGGCCGCAGUGAAUAGGCCCAGGCGACUGUUUAUCAAAAACACAGGACUCUGCUAAGUCGAAAGACGAUGUAUAGGGUCUGACACCUGCCCGGUGCUGGAAGGUUAAGUGGAGAUGUUAGCUUCGGCGAAGCAUUGAAAUGAAGCCCCAGUAAACGGCGGCCGUAACUAUAACGGUCCUAAGGUAGCGAAAUUCCUUGUCGGGUAAGUUCCGACCUGCACGAAUGGUGUAACGAUCUGGACACUGUCUCAGCCAUGAGCUCGGUGAAAUUGUAGUAUCGGUGAAGAUGCCGAUUACCCGCUGUGGGACGAAAAGACCCCGUGCACCUUUACUAUAGCUUCGUAUUGACCUUGGGCAAGGGAUGUGUAGGAUAGCUGGGAGGCUGUGAACCUGUUUCGCUAGGAAUGGGGGAGCCAUUGUUGAAAUACCAGCCUUCGUUUGUCCGGGGCCUAACCUCGAAAGGGGAACAGUGCGUGGUGGGUAGUUUGACUGGGGUGGUCGCCUCCAAAAGAGUAUCGGAGGCUUCCAAAGGUGUCCUCAGCACGCUUGGUAACCGUGCGUAGAGUGCAAUGGCACAAGGACGCUUGACUGUGAGACUUACAAGUCGAACAGGUACGAAAGUAGGGCAUAGUGAUCCGGUGGUUCCGCAUGGAAG
Molecule: ribosomal RNA, 1125 nt
Filed under: marine metagenome
Description: bacterial LSU rRNA
Rfam family: Bacterial large subunit ribosomal RNA
Source: RNAcentral